This 1626-nucleotide unclassified non-coding RNA is filed under the name Drosophila virilis. RNAcentral describes it as "GJ11988". Lineage: Eukaryota; Metazoa; Arthropoda; Insecta; Diptera; Drosophilidae. The record is from RNAcentral.
AGCUGCAACCGCGUUAACAAAAGAACGCCGUAAUUUAUUCCAAAAUAGUGGAUAAGAAACUAGUUUUAUUCAAAUGUGAUAAACCAAUUAGCAGCUUCGAUGACUACUUUUACGAAGUGUCGUGUUUGUAUUUGUGAUCUCGAUGCAACUGUCGGUAGCUACGAUAUGCGUAAAUUGCCCCUAUUGGCACACAAGUUUGUCACGUGCACCGAUUUGUCCGUGUCUGAGGAGCAGCGAGUCCCCAGUGAGCUGUGCCAGGCGUGCUAUAACCAGUUGGAACAGUUGUAUGCAUUCCGUGCAAAGUGCAUUGCGGCUGACACAAAAUGGCGCAUGCAAAUUUUGGCAUUUUGCGAUGAGGAGGAACCUAUUUACGACUUGGAGGCGGCACCGAGUACAGUUGCAGUCGAGGAGCUAAAAGAGAGCAAUAAAAAGCAAAAUGGAAAACUUCACGAAAAAAAUGAAAAAUGUGAAGAGCACCAAUUGGAUUCUGUAGAAGUGGAAAUUGAAAAUCAUGACAUGGAAACACCUGCACAGCCCAUGGAGGACAACGUUGAAUCCGAUGCCGUAACAAGUUCCUCGCCACGGCAUCCAAAAAGCGUCUUCAAAUGUGAUAUAUGCGCCGCGCAAUUCUUAAAUGAGAAGCGCCUGCUAGCGCAUAGUCGGCGACAUGGACAGAUGCCGUACCCCUGCCCCGAGCCAGGCUGUGAUCGCGGCUACAGCCAUAAGCAUACAUUAUCGCUGCAUAUGCGAAAGUGUCAUAAGCUUGGCAAGGAGCACAAGUCGCAUGUUUGCGAGUUCUGUGGCAAGCUCUUUGACACCAUGGCGCUGCUCAAAAACCAUCGUUUUACGCACAAGGACAAGUUGGAGCAGCCAUUUGCGUGCGAGGAGCCGGACUGUGAGCGACGUUUCGCCACUAAGCAGCUGUUAAAGAUACAUAUGAUGCGUCAUGCGGGCAUCAAGAAUUACACAUGUUCAUACUGUGGCGUACAGAAGACGACACGGACUGAACUCAAGAUUCACCUAAACUAUCAUACGCUGGAGCGCACCUAUUGCUGCCGGCUCUGCUCUAAGGUGUGCUACAGCUCCAGUAAUCUGAAUAAACAUAUGCGCACCGUACACGAGCGUGCUCGGAAUUAUGCCUGCCGCUAUUGCGAGCGCGCCUUCAUUCAGCCCGAGACACGUAACCAACAUGAGCUAAUCCACACGGGCGAGAAGCCACAUGGGUGCGUGGAAUGCGGCAGACAUUUUAGGCAGAAGGCAGCUCUGCGCGCUCACUACAAAAUUCAUACCCGCCAGCUUAAGGAGCAGAGCUCCGAAUUAGGAACUGACACACAUGAGAUUGUAGGAGAUGAGGAUGGCAAUGAUAUGCCAGAAACUGAAUAUGUUGAAUACGAUUGAAAGGUUCAUAGCAUUUCGAGUAACUUAGCGACUCUGGAUGAACUAUUUUGUCGUUCAACGGGGUGAUCUAAAUGUGUGCGUUUAUAAUUGGAGAUAACCAAUACUCAGGUGAACAACAACUGCAACCACUACCUCUGGCUACUGUGCACAUCAUUAACAUUGUAUACUUCCAACCCAAAGUGUGCUAUCGUACUCUUAAUGACUUCAUUUGACCGCAUAGAAGAAGAA